RNAcentral lists this unclassified non-coding RNA (295 nucleotides) under uncultured bacterium. RNAcentral describes it as "contains 16S-23S intergenic spacer region". The record is from RNAcentral.
UCACGAACCAGCGGCGUAUUUCUGGCGCACAGGACCUCGUUCGUCUUUAGCGGCGCUUGCGUUCCACCGGGGGUUUGCCCGGUUGGCUGAACUGAGCAUAGGCCACCCGAAACAGUUCGGCUAGUGCCCCGGCGGUCUCUGCGGUCAAGUUGCGGUCCGCGCGGAGAUGCGCCUCUACGAUGUCCGGAAGAGAUUCCUGGGGAAAGUAGACGACUGGGCGAUCACCGUUCGUUUCAGCCUCGGAUCCAGCCAAGAUCCGUUCGAGUGGAAUCUGCAGCCACCCGGCAAUCCGUGC